GCCCCUUGCCGCAGACUUAACAUGCAAGUCGACGGCAGCGCGGGGCAACCUGGCGGCGAGUGGCGAACGGGUGAGUAAUAUAUCGGAACGUGCCCUGGAGUGGGGGAUAACGCAGCGGAAGUUGCGCUAAUACCGCAUACGAUCUAAGGAUGAAAGCGGGGGAUUCGCAAGAACCUCGUGCUCCUGGAGCGGCCGAUAUCUGAUUAGCUAGUUGGUGGGGUAAAGGCCUACCAAGGCAUCGAUCAGUAGCUGGUCUGAGAGGACGACCAGCCACACUGGAACUGAGACACGGUCCAGACUCCUACGGGAGGCAGCAGUGGGGAAUUUUGGACAAUGGGCGAAAGCCUGAUCCAGCAAUGCCGCGUGAGUGAAGAAGGCCUUCGGGUUGUAAAGCUCUUUUGUCAGGGAAGAAACGGUGAAGGCUAAUAUCCUUUGCUAAUGACGGUACCUGAAGAAUAAGCACCGGCUAACUACGUGCCAGCAGCCGCGGUAAUACGUAGGGUGCAAGCGUUAAUCGGAAUUACUGGGCGUAAAGCGUGCGCAGGCGGUUUUGUAAGUCUGUCGUGAAAUCCCCGGGCUCAACCUGGGAAUUGCGAUGGAGACUGCAAGGCUAGAAUCUGGCAGAGGGGGGUAGAAUUCCACGUGUAGCAGUGAAAUGCGUAGAGAUGUGGAGGAACACCGAUGGCGAAGGCAGCCCCCUGGGUCAAGAUUGACGCUCAUGCACGAAAGCGUGGGGAGCAAACAGGAUUAGAUACCCUGGUAGUCCACGCCCUAAACGAUGUCUACUAGUUGUCGGGUUUUAGUUAACUUGGUAACGCAGCUAACGCGUGAAGUAGACCGCCUGGGGAGUACGGUCGCAAGAUUAAAACUCAAAGGAAUUGACGGGGACCCGCACAAGCGGUGGAUGAUGUGGAUUAACUCGAUGCAACGCGAAAAACCUUACCUACCCUUGACAUGUACGGAAGCCACGAGAGAUCGAGGCGUGCUCGAAGAGAGCCGUACACAGGUGCUGCAUGCUGUCGUCAGCUCGUGUCGUGAGAAUGUAGGUUAAGUCCCGCACGAGCGCAUCCUGUCAUUAGUGCUACGAAGAGCACUCUAAUGAAACUGCGGUGAACAAACGAGAGUGCGGGAAUAUGACGUUCAAGUCUCUAUGGCUUAAGUAAGUCUUCCACGCUUACAUGUUGGACUACGAAAGUCGUCAGUCUCGCAAGGGGACCAUAAUC
This 1223-nucleotide ribosomal RNA is filed under the name uncultured bacterium. Its description in RNAcentral is "partial 16S ribosomal RNA". It matches the Rfam family "Bacterial small subunit ribosomal RNA", at positions 32 to 1273 of the family's 1533-position model. The record is from RNAcentral.